UACGUAGGGGGCAAGCGUUGUCCGGAUUUAUUGGGCGUAAAGAGCGUGUAGGCGGCCUGGAAGGUCAGCUGUGAAAACUCGAGGCUCAACCUCGAGACGUCGGUUGAAACCACCUGGCUAGAGUCCGGAAGAGGAGUGUGGAAUUCCCGGUGUAGCGGUGGAAUGCGCAGAUAUCGGGAGGAACACCAGUGGCGAAGGCGACUUCCUGGCCUGUUCUUGACGCUGAGGCGCGAAAGCUAGGGGAGCAAACGGG
This 253-nucleotide ribosomal RNA is filed under the name uncultured bacterium. RNAcentral's name for it is "partial 16S ribosomal RNA". It matches the Rfam family "Bacterial small subunit ribosomal RNA", at positions 524 to 776 of the family's 1533-position model. The record is from RNAcentral.